AACCUACAUACACCAUAGGCUCUUUGACGGGCGCGGCUAGUGAUGAGAUUAUAUCCUGUAUGUCGCUGCAUGACAAAAUGACUCAACGAGAGGAUCACUGUUAUGGUUGGCGAUAAGAGCAUGUGAUGGAAUCCAAUUUCUAGGUGUGCAUGCUUUGGUUCUACGUUCUGCACAUCAGCAAUGGACAGGAGCAGCCUAUGAUGGAAUCCAAAGAAAAAUCCUCAAAACAAUUGUACGUCCAAGCCAUGCUAUCGUCUCAUUUGAGGAGAAAAACUGCUUUGAAAACUGAGACCACUCAAGAUGGUAUGAGAUGUUUCACUUCCCAUGCUUAUUAUUCUAUUUUCUCCGUGUUCUAAUUAGUGGCAGUUUCGUUUUUUCCUUUUUUUACCGAAUGUAUAUACAUUAUAAAACAAUCUAUAGCCCGAGAAAGCAAUAGCAUCGGAGACCAAGCGGUCUGGAUGUCAGUGGAGUGAGAGAACAUGGGAUUUUUCAGGGCAGCGUUGUCGGACGCGUUGUUUCGCAAGCCACGCCUAUCGCCAUCCAGUUCAACAGACCAGCAAAAUCAGGACUUCAUACAUGCACUUGAGGUAUGCAAUCUUACAUGCACUUCUGCAAGUAUGUAUGUAUGCAUGGACCGAAGUACAUAUAAAUUUUAACGUAUGCAAUCAUACAUGCACUUCUGCAAGCAUGUAUGUAUGCAUGGACCGAAGUAUAUGUAUAGGUUGAUCUGUGAAGGAUAGGCUACAAUAGGUACAUUUAAAAAAAAUACAGUACAAUUUACAGAUUAAAUUAUCACAAUCUUUCCUUCAAACUAAAAAUCUCUAUAAUCUACUUUCGUAGUACUUCUCCUUCCACAAAGAAUUGUCUAAAUCAAAAAUCCAAGUAUGGAAAGUAGUAUUUGAACAUGAUAUGUUCUCCUUUGGACUUGGUAUGAUUAAAAGGUACGUAUCUGAUCUACCGCAAGUUAUUUCCUCUUCUCAUCUCGAAUGUUGAACCUUGCAGAAUUCUUAUGUAGUCUUCUACGAUGCUACCCCAUACAAUUGAUUCGCUAGCAUGAUCAUAACCGGACCUUCUAUGACUUUGACGUACAAGGAGAAAAAGUUGUACGAAAAGACACACAAGCAGUUGUUUCAGGCAUCCUGUUCUAAUCCCCUGUCAUAGUCAAUGUGCAUCAAGUCAUGUGUUAGAGUCUAUAAGGAGCCUCUCCAAUUGCAUACACUAUAUUUGACCGGGAGAGUGUUACAUUUUGACAAAAAAAAUCAUAUACUUUUUUUAACCGGAUGAAUAAAAGAUACCAGUGAAGUAGAUGUACACCAUUGAAGUUGUGUGUUCUUCUAUUUCAUGUUUUUUAGAAAGUAAGUGAGAACACAACUUGACAACUACAUCACAAGUAGUCUAUUUAAGGUUUCUAAACUUUAGUAUAUAUAGUUAAACAUAUAUAUUCUUGGUUCGUCAUAUGACUAUCACAAGAGUACUAGACACCAUGAUAUAUAUAUAUCACCAGGGUGCAAAAUAGUUUAUCCUUCACCCGAGAUAAUCGUACGAUCAAUUUGCAAAUAAGUUAUAUUCGAAAUAUAAAUAGUUACAUUUAUAUUGAAUCAGUACGUCAAAUUUGACCCAAAAAAAAUAUAGGUCACAAGACUAGAAAAAAUUGAAGUUUUUGUAUUUUGUGCACUAUUUUUGUAAGUUCAUAAUUUUACGUGACAUAAAAUAUUUUUACGUUGAUUAUAAUUUUUUACGGUCUUUUUUUACAUAUAAAAUAAGACAGAAUUUAUAGAACGUAAAAUUACAGUGCAUUAAUGUUAAAAUAGAAGGGGGUGAAGAAUAAUAUUCCUCACCCAGGGUGCGAACAGCGUAACCCUAUAUAUAUUGAUGAUGUUUAGGACAAAUAUGCAAGAAUGAUGCAUGGUAGACAUGAUCGGAAAUAUUUUGAUUUUGUUGGCCACUACUUUCUUUCUGUUCAAAAGUGAAUGCGUACUAAAUAUUUUGGUUGGCGGUCAAAGUUUCACGUAAGCAUCAUGGUUCUUUGGAUGGUUAAAAUUCAUACAUUAUAAUUUUCAACAUGAUUUACACCUUUGGUAAUAGAUUAACAAAUCUUCAAUUAUAAGUCAUGGAAUUUACAUGAUUUGAGCCGUUAAGUUCUGAAUCUAUUGUACGGAGAAGAUUAGACUAACCAAUUUGGUGAAGAUUUUGUCACAAGUUCGGUAGAUGAACAUUAAUUGUCAAUGGUAGGAAAAUCUACCAUGUAUAGUUAUCUGUUAAGAUGAUUUUAAUUUUUUCAUGUUAAUGAGGGAUUUGGACAUCCCUGGAACCUUGGAAAUCCAGAAUAGAUGUUAUGAAUUCAUUACAAUUGUAGUCACCUUUCUUAUUUUGUUGCAUGUAUAAAUAUUUUUUAUAUAUAAAAAGCAGAGCGAAGUGAUGUGCACGACAACUUGCAUAGGGUUGGAGAAGAAAAACAGAUUUUGCAAUUGAAAAUUUCUAGAAAGCUAAAUUGUACAGUUUCCCGUAUUUAACAUGUAGGUUAUUAUUAUUAUUUAUAAAUUUUUGAAUAUUAAUUUCUUUGUAUAAUUUUUAAUAUUACCACACAAUUAUAUAUGUGUACUAUUGCUAGAAUAUUUAUCAAAAAAUAUAAAUAAUAAUAACAUCUUCAAUACCAUAUCAAUAUUUAGAUUUCUCACUAAAUAUAAUUUCACAUCAUCUAUACAUAUAUUUUUUAAACAUUCAGGUUGUUCUGUAUAAAUUUUUGACUUAGGAAAAAUCUAAUAUCAAUGUAAAUUGAAACAAAGGAAGUAUAAAAACUAGGCCGUCCAAGCACGCCACUUAAUGAAUUUAAAUUUCUUAAGACAUAAAAUUCUAACUCUCACUCACCAUUGUAGGCUAGCCCGUGCGAAUGCACGGGUUGACGACUAGUUAACUUAAACGGUGUGAGGAUAAAUCGCCCUCGACACAAGCUGCCACUGGGGCAGGUACAAGGUUUUCCCACUCCUCAAAGUGGUUAGAAGCAUACGACCGUCCUAUGCUAGCUAGGUUAUGCGUUGCCGUGUUAGCCUCCCUACGGCACACCGUGAUCUUAUGUUUGGAGAACCACAUCUUGAGCUGAAACUUGAGGUCCUCGAUCACCGCUGCAUAUGCUAAAGCAUCCACCCGAGAAAAGUCCAUGGCCUCCUGGAGCAGUGUGCAGUCUGUCUCGAAAAGGACUCGCACUAGGCCAAGCUCGGCAGCACAUGAUAUCGCAUGUGCAAGGGCAUAUACUUCCGCCGCAAAGGCGUCAUAGACAUGAUCCUGCCUGCCCGCCCUUGCCGCAAUCACCGCUCCUUCUGCAUCGCGGGCGAUGACACCCCACCCCGAGCCCUCCUGUCCCGGAGUGACGGCCGCCACCUUUGGGGAGACAGCCCAGCUUUCGGCACGCAAUAUAUUUGCUCAUAUUGGAUAACAUUAGCCCGUGUCCGUCGAGCGACUGCCUCUACGGAUUCCGAUAGCUCCCCUUUCCUAAGCUUAUUCCGGUUAGACCACCAGAGCCACCAGAAGGUAAGGAUAAGCAUCCGUUUGUGCUCACUGAGGCUCCAGAUGUAGUCCAACAUGUGGUGCACCGAUGGAAUUUCCUGCAAUUCACGCCGUUCUGGCUCCAGCGCAAGCUCUCGCCAAACCGCCUUGGCGUUUUUGCACUUGAUAAACAGGUGUGCACCAUCCUCGUCAGCUUUACCACAGAAGAGGCAUUUUGUGUUCUCCAUUGGGAUGCCCCUCUUCUUGAGAUGUACUCGGAGAGCCAGGGAUUCGUGCUUUAACCUCCAUGCGAACAUCUGGAUGUUCCUCGGCCCUCUGAGCUUCCACAGCCGGCGCCAUGAAUCAACAGAGCGUGGGUUGAUAGGAGCCGCUGCCAUACUCGACCCCACAUCUCCUUGUGUCAAGUGUUUACGUAGCUGAACAUGUAGCUUAUAGGCGCUCUUAACGGAAUGAGCUCCUUUGCUAUCAUACUGCCAGGCCACAAAGUCCGGCACCCCUUCCCUUAGUGGGAUCUGCAUAAUAUAUCGGGCAUCAUCCUCCCAAAAGGUCUGGCGAACAAGCCUUUCAUCCCAAGAGCCAGUAGCUGGAUCAAUGAGCUCACUGACGCGCUCAAGCAGGAUGCCCCUCCGGGGAAUGAUCACUCUUCGCGACCACGGUCUCGGUAUCCAAGGAUCUUUCCAUAUGUUAACGUUCAUUCCAUCUCCAAUGCGCCAUAUGUAUCCGUCCUUGAUUAGCUCCAGUCCAUGCAGCAGGCUUCUCCAGGAGUACGAGAUGCCAGGACGUAGGGUAGCAUCAAGAACAUGAGUGUUGGGGAAGUACCGUGCCUUCAGUACCCUAGCACACAACGAUUCUGGACAUUGAAUUAGCCUCCAAAUCUGUCUGGAUAACAUUGCUAUAUUGAAACAGUCCAUGUCCCUGAAGCCCAAUCCUCCCUGAUCUUUUGGUUUUGUGAGCUUCUCCCAGCUGAUCCAAUGAAUGGUGUUUUCCUUCUCUUGCUGGCUCCACCAGUAUUUCCCCAGCAUCGAACUAAGCUCCUCACAGAAAGACUUUGUAAGAUAGAAGCAGGACAUAGCAUAGGUAGGGAUUGCUUGUGCCACGACUUUGACUAGGGUUUCCUUGCCUGGCUUCGCAAUAAGCUUUUCCUUCCAACCAUAAACCUUCCCUGCGACCGCCCCCUUGAUAUAAGCGAAGGCUUUCCUCCUGGAUCGGCCCACAUGAACCAGCAAACCCAGGUAUUUGUCGUUCCAUGUCUCACUCUGGAUCCCCAGAAUGUUCUUCACAACCAUGCGUGUGCCUUCUGCAGUAUUGGGGCUGAACAUUACAGCUGAUUUCUUUGUAUUGAUGCAUUGGCUGGAGCAACUCUCAUACAAAUCUAGAAUUUUCUUCAACACUAACGCCUCCCUCGGUUCAGCUUUCAUAAGCAGGACGGAGUCAUCAGCGAAGAAUAGAUGUGACACUGUGGGUCCCGUGCUACAUAUUUUCACCCCACUUAUCCGCCCUGCGCCCUCCGCCUCUUGGAGUAGUGCCGACAUGCCUUCUACGCAGAUGACAAACAAGUACGACGACAGAGGGUCCCCUUGGCGAAGGCCCCUUGUCGGACAGAACUGCUCUGUGAGAUCACCAUUAACCUUAAUUUGAUAUCUCACGGUGGUAACGCAGCGCAUGAUGAGCUGUACAGCCUCGUAGCCGAAGCCCAACCUGCAUAGCAUUGCUUCCAGGAAACUCCACUCGACCCGGUCAUACGCCUUGCUCAUGUCCGCCUUGACCGCCGCAAACCCUUCUUUCCCCUUAGUCUUGUGGAGGAGGUAGUCUGAAAUCUCAUAUGAGAUCAGCACAUUGUCGGUGAUAAGUCUGCCAGGUACAAAGGCACUCUGGUUGUCUGAUAUUAUCUCUGGCAGGAUCAGUUUCAUCCUGUUCGCGGUUACCUUGGACACCAACUUAUAGACCACAUUGCACAAGCUGAUGGGGCGCAAAUCCUUGAUCCUACUCGGUGAUUUAACUUUGGGAAUAAGAACAAUAAGAGUAUCAUUCCACCCUUCUGGAAUCGCGCCACCAUUGAGCACUGUUAAUACUUCCUCCACUGCUUGAUCCCCCAUGAGAUGCCAGUUCCUCUUGUACACAACGAAGGGCAUACCAUCCGGGCCAGGUGCCUUCAGAUCUCCUAUAUGAUCAAGGGCAGCUUUGAUCUCCUCUCUAGUGAAUGCAGCCGACAUGAGGGUGUUCAUCACGUGUGUUACUCGAGGUUGUACCUUGCGCAGGAGGUCCUCCAUAUGGCCCCCCAAAUUUGAAGUGAAUAAGUCAUGAAAACAGGAGCACACAUAAGUGGUUAGCUCUUCCCCCUCCUGCACUAGCGAUCCAUCCUCCCUCCUGAGCCCCUUAAUUUUAUUCUUCUUCCUCCUAGCUGAAGCCAGUGCCAUGAAAUAUUUCGUGUUUCUAUUCAUGUCCUUGAGCCAAGCGAUAUGGGACCGUUGCUUUGCUUUGAUGUGUUGCUUCUCCUCCAAGUCAUGCACUACACCCCGUAGCCUCCCCUCUUCUCGGACCUUCGACUCAGACACUGGUGCGCACAUACAUCUCUCCAGCUCUGCCUGUGCCUUCUUGAGUCUUCCUGCUAUCUCCCCUACCUCCUCCUCAUGUCAUACUCGCAUCUUGGUUGCCACUUUCCUCAGAUUCUGAGCAAGUUGCCACCUUCCGCCCUCCCUUCGUCCCAUGCCUCCUUGAUAGCUGCGGCACACCCCUCCUCCUGUAGCCACCAUGCUUCAAAACGAACCCCCUUAUCGCCUCCUUGACAUUGCCGGCGAACCCCACCCUCCGUGUUAACGAUUAACGGUCUGUGAUCCGAAUGGCGCGGCCACCCAUGCACCACGGUAAAGCCUGGAAACAUCUCACACCAUUCGGUGUUUGCUGUUGCUCGGUCUAGCCGUUCGCAUAUAUAUGAACGCGCCUCUUUGCUAUGGUUCCUCCACGUGAAUUUGUCUCCAGUAUAGCCAAUAUCACAUAGCCCGGCAUUCUCCAGCGUCUCACGAAACCUAUCCAUGCACGCCAGAGGUCUACGGCUCCCUCCCACCUUCUCUCCAUCCAGUAAGAUCUCAUUGAAAUCCCCAAAACACAUCCAUGGUCUCCCCUGUUGGUGUUGUUGCCCUAGCAAUCGCAGUGUACGCCAUGUUUCUGUUUUACGCUCCACUUCCGACUCGCCAUAUAUCCCCGUUAGCCUCCAUAUAGCACCAGAUUCUUCCAUGACAUCCACAUCAAUGUGCCGUCGACCAUACGACCGAAGUGUCACAUGUACCUCCUUCUUCCACAGUAGAGCAACCCCUCUACUCCUUCCUACCGCACUCCAUGCAACCAUGUUACCUAGCCCCAAGCGCCACUUGAACUUCUCCAAUUCCUUCUCGGUAAGCUUGGUUUCCGACAGGAAAAGGAUGCCGGGAUCCUCCAUUCUCCCCAGCUCGAGGAGACUUUGAACUGUCGGGCCAUUCCCGAGCCCCCGGCAGUUCCAUCCAGUGAGUUUCAUUGCAUUCGGCGGGGCUGUUCCAACAGCCCGGACGAUAAGUUCAAUUGUGGUGGUGCCUCAGUCUCCCCCUCCUUCACCCCGUCUACCUCCUCACACAACUCCAUUCGCCCUCGUUUUGCCUCCACUUCCUCCAGAGCCCCUUCCUUUGACCGCUUGGCUCCUGUCAGCCUACUGGUUGUAGGUCUCCUCCAUCACCCACCCUACUCUCCCGCCUAAGCCUUUUGAAUUUCCGCUGUCCAGCCUCUCUUGGUUUCCCUCCUGCUAUCUCUGCUGUGGUCGGACACUCCUCCUGCAGUGUUGUGUGGUGUUGACCUUCUUCGCCGGAGCUGCCAAGAGGCGAGAUGGCAUCAUUAUCCAUGUCCUUAGCGGCAGGGUUACUGAUCAACCGCUCAGAUGUGAGGGCCUUCCCCCCUGUUUGUUGCUUGUUACCCGGGUCUCCUCCCCCUUGCUCGACCAGCUGCAGUUUCUUGGGUUGGCCUCUCUCUCUAGCAGCAGGGGCAUUCUGCUUGACCGGGCUUGUUACUUCCUCUCCCUUCUCCGCAUCCACACUCCUCCCCUUCGUACUCCUCGAGUUCUCCUUGCGCCAAGACAGGCCAUCAUUGCCGCUCCCCAUCUUCUCCUGAGACCGGCUACUACCAAAGGGUCGUGAGACUCCUGAACCUCGGCCUCUACCCCUCCAGCUGCCAGACUCUUCCCCGUGCACCUUCCUGCGACCCAUGUCUGCCCGGAGCCAACCUCUGAAUUGCGCCCGUCUAUUCUUGUCCAGUUGCAUGUCGCACGCCCUUUCUCUAUGUCCCACCAUUCCACACACAUAACAAAAUUCAGGCAAAAACUCAUAUUCAAAUCGGCACCACGCCCCCUCUUCCUCCUCACCUCCUCCAUCGAUAUUCAUCUUCUUCUUCUGUUUCUGCCUUCCACCAUCCUCCGCAUCAUCCAGCAUAAAGCCCCUCAUGAUUGGUUUGUCUAUGUUCAUUCUGAUCUUAACUCUCAUAAAUUUCCCCAUGGCUACUCCAUCAACUCCAACAUCCGCUUCCACAAAACUACCAACGAGGUUCCCAAUCUCCUCUGCCAUUACUUCAUUCAUCAUCCCCAACGGGAGACUAAAUACCCUCAUCCAGAUGGGGAUCUCAUUGAACUCAUAGUCCUCCGGCCGCUUCCCCGGAUCAUAGUCCUCCACCACUACCAGAUCCUUCUCAAACAUCCACGGGCCAUCCUCCAACGCCCUUCGUUUCCCCGAUUCCUGGUGGAACGUGAACACAAACAAGUUCUCCCCCACCUCCUUGCAUUCGAUGCCUUUGAUCGGACACCACACACGCCCCAACGACAGCCGGAUCGCGUCGGGGUGAGCCAGCUUCUCCGGCAAGACUUUCCCUACCGCCCGUGCCACCGGGAUCUUCCCCCUCUCCUUCCCCGACACCCUGAUCUUGACUCCACGUCGUUCUUCCUCCGUCAACCGCAGCCCCCGCAUCAGCCCAUCAACCGCCUCCAUCUCCCUUCGCACUCCUGGUCUGGCCCGAAUUAGGGUUUAAGGUGGUGUACGACCGUGCGACCCCAGGCACACAGAAGGCUGUGAGAUGGUGAUGGGGUCUACUCUCGCCGGGACGAGGGUGGCAGGCACUCCGCUGCAGAUCAGAGAUCCCGUCGUCGACCUAGCCAGGCCUCGCCCGAACCCGAACCGUGAUCGCCUCCGUGAUAUUCGGAGCACCCUAACCGCCACACCAGGGGCGGACUUACAGCAACCUGAUGUAAACGUGUUGAUACCUCAGGAAUAUAAUGUCUUCGACUAAUCUAGAGAUGGAACCGUGGGGUGGUCCUUGCCAGUUUUAACCAUUGUUGAUUUUACUUUUUGAAAAACCGACCUUGCUAAGAGCAUCUCCAACAGACGCGCGAUUUUAGCGCUGUGCUGGAAAAAAAAUCAUUUUUUGUGCGUGGAGUAAAACGACAUCGCUCGUCGUUUAUUUCGUGCGCUCGCUCCCGUGCGCUGGACACUCGAGCGCCCGCGACCCACUUCUGCCACCCUCUUCGGUCGCCCCGCCCAUGUCGCCGCUGGCGAAAUUCAAUGGAUGGAAGGCCGCGCCGACGUCCCCCCACCCCUCCCUACACUCGCGACCCCUCUGCCGGUGUCGUUGGCGCAAACCCUAGCGCGGGGUUGAACUUCGGCUUCGCCGCCGCCGGCCCUCCUCCAAGCACCGGCCUCGCGCGCGGCCUUUUCAUGGCGCCACAGAUGACCUCGGCGGGUGGAGUCGCGCCGACGCCUGUCGUGAAGCCACGUGACCCCCUCUCCAAGCGACCAAAUGCGACGGUGGUGAAGGAGAGGAUGGUGGCAUUGGAAGAGAAUAAAUUGGCCAUGAAGGAGCGAUCUAGAUUGUUGGAAUGGGAGAAGAACUUGUUCUUCAUGUACACAUCUACGCUCGAUGAGAAGCAAAAGGAGUACGCCAAUCUUGUCUGUGAGGAAGUCUUGGUCCAAAAAAGAGCCAUGGCCACGGGAGGCAUGAGAGCUACCAUGGGAGGCAUGGGUGUCAUGGGUGGCUUUGGAGCUACCAUGCGAGGUCUCCGAGCAUCUACGGGAGGCAUCGAUGGUAUGGUGGCUUCGGAGCUACCAUGGGUGGCAUGGGAGACAUGUGUGGCUUCGGAGCUACCAUGGGUGGCAUGGGAGACAUGUGUGGCUUCAGAGCUACCAUGGGUGGCAUGGGAGGCAUGUGUGGCUUCAGAGCUAUCAUGGGUGGCAUGGGAGGCAUGUGUGGCUUCGGAGCUACCAUGGGUGGGUUUGGAGCUACCAUGGGAGGCAUGAGUUUUGGGUCUCUCAUGGGAGGCAUGAGUUUUGGGUCUCUCAUGGGAGGCAUGUGAGCACCUCCGGGUCACAUGGAUGGAUACAUAUCUUUCGGAUUGCCUCACAUACCUUCACAUGAUGCAACGCGCGACAAUGAAGAGGAGGAGGAAGAAUCGUCUUCGGAUAAGGAUGAAGAAGAGGAGGAUUGUUGAUGUGUCAUUUGUUUGUGUGAACUUUUGUGUCAUGAACUUGGUUGGGUGAUUUUAGACUUGGUUGAAUGAUGAUGUGGCAUGAUUGUUGAUGUGCCGUACAAUUAAACUAUGUUGUGUCUUUAUUUUGCACAUUCGUUUAAUAUUUGAAACAUCAUCAUAUUAUCAAAAUGGACAUGUAAAAUCUUAUUCGCAAGUGCCGGCUGCUCGCGCGUGCUGUAGUUAGCGCGCCUGCUGGAGCUGCUCGCGCGCGUCAUAUUUAUAGCGGUCGCUGGAGCCAAUGCUCUACCGCGCGGAAAAAAUAGCUAUUUCCGCGUCCAAAAAAGGUAUUAGCGUGCCUGUUGGAGUUGCUCUAAAUCUCACACAUGUGACACGAACACAUGGCAAGUCUGAGAGUUUUUAUGACAAGUUUAAUGAUACGAGGAUGACAAGCAUGACAACUUCCUUUAUAGAUGGAAAGUUUUAUUUUCUUAGGGUUUUACUUUUUUGAAUGACAACUUUAGUUGUGAAAAAUGUCAGGACGGGAGUGUUUCGUGCCACAUGUGUGACAUUUAUCAUUUAGAUGAAAAAAAACAGAGUUGAAUAUGAUCUUUUGAAAAAAGAGGUUGAUUCUUUUUUAUGUGAAUAGUAUCUGUAUUACUCAAUCACCAGGAUCACAACGCAUAGUUUUGGUCACGCUUUAUGUCACUAAUACAAGUCUGACGGUUGCUCAGCAGAGCUUUAGUCUUCUCUACUACUGUUAUGUGUGCAGAAAGAUCUUUCGCUGCAUCUGUGUGGUCUAUAAUAAGAUAAACAAUUUCAUUUUUUUGAGUUUAUAUUAGUAUAAAGUUAUACUAAGCUUAAGAUACUUAUUUUGAGACGGAGAGAGUAUUUUAUUGGUCAAUAAAGCUGAUGAUUUUAUGUGAAAAGUGGUAGUCAAGUUACAUUUUGAAAACUUUUCAGGUAUUUCUCAGACUCUUUGGGUAAAAACCAUGCAUUUGGUCUUCCCGAUAGUUGUUCGGUAUUGCCUCUGCUAACUUUCAAAUGAUGUUUACAUAGGUAAUAGGGAUUUACAGAUAAAUAAACAGUCUGUAGUAAAUCCAAACAAAAAGCACCAGUGGUCUAGUGGUAGAAUAGUACCCUGCCACGGUACAGACCCGGGUUCGAUUCCCGGCUGGUGCAUUCCUUUUUGUAUUUUUUAUUAUGCACAUGUCAUGGGAUGACAUGGAAGGAUUUUAGUACAGCCUUUAGUAUUUGUACAUGUUCCAUUUUAAGCGGAUUCUUGAUUUGUUUUGUUAGUCUUCCACCCAAAAGAUGAGUGAUUUGGCACAAGAUAUAUCUGUGCACGUAUAAACUUGAUAUUUAAAAUCAUUUUCCGCAUCGAGAAAUAGAAUAGAGCCUAGUUAUCUUGAGUUGACAGGGAAAUAUUUGAAACAUGGCGGUUCCAGCCUUACAUUUACAUACUUUACAUUUGUUUCUUAACUGCUUGUUAAUUUGUUUUGUUCGUAUUCCACCCAAAAUUCGAGUGACUUGGCACAAGAUAUAUUUGUCUGCAUGUAAAAACUUGAUAUGUAAAUCAGUUUGUACAUCGAGAAACAAAUAUAACCUAAUUAUUUCGUGAGAGUAAUUUUGGCCAUAUUUGUGAACGAUAUUGUUUCUUUGUGUUAAAUGACAUUUUUUUAAGAAUAGUAUAGUACUAGUUCCUUUUCCUUUUCUUUUUCUACCUUCUGGAUUGUCAUUUCAAGUAUAGCUCCUAUUGAUCUUCUUGUGGCAGAAUAUAUAGCUCAAAUAAUAAAUAUUCUCUUUCUCCCACUAGGUAGUACUGGCACCUCUUCAUCUGAAUCGGAUAUGUCAUCAUCAUCUGGAAAGCAAAAUUCAUCCUGGG
Molecule: long non-coding RNA, 11858 nt
Filed under: Hordeum vulgare
Lineage: Eukaryota; Viridiplantae; Streptophyta; Magnoliopsida; Poales; Poaceae
Description: long non-coding RNA (HVUL_LNC005189)
Rfam family: tRNA (bases 11085-11155)
Source: RNAcentral